RNAcentral lists this ribosomal RNA (863 nucleotides) under uncultured bacterium. Its description in RNAcentral is "bacterial SSU rRNA". It matches the Rfam family "Bacterial small subunit ribosomal RNA", at positions 28 to 897 of the family's 1533-position model. The record is from RNAcentral.
GACGAACGCUGGCGGCGUGCCUAACACAUGCAAGUCGAACGGAGAUACUGAGGUAGCUUGCUACUUAAGUAUCUUAGUGGCGGACGGGUGAGUAACACGUGGGUAACCUACCCUAAAGAGGGGGAUAACACCGAGAAAUCGGUGCUAAUACCGCAUAACAUUAGUACUUCGCAUGGAGUACUAAUCAAAGGAGAAAUCCGCUUUAGGAUGGGCCCGCGGCUGAUUAGCUAGUUGGUGAGGUAACGGCUCACCAAGGCGACGAUCAGUAGCCGAUCUGAGAGGAUGACCGGCCACACUGGAACUGAGACACGGUCCAGACUCCUACGGGAGGCAGCAGUGGGGAAUAUUGCACAAUGGGGGAAACCCUGAUGCAGCGACGCCGCGUGGAGGAAGAAGGUCUUCGGAUUGUAAACUCCUGUCAUUCGGGACGAAUAAUGACGGUACCGGAUGAGGAAGCCACGGCUAACUACGUGCCAGCAGCCGCGGUAAUACGUAGGUGGCGAGCGUUGUCCGGAAUUACUGGGCGUAAAGGGCGCGUAGGCGGUUUACUAAGUCAGAUGUGAAAACCCCGGGCUCAACCUGGGGAUUGCAUUUGAAACUGGUAGGCUAGAGUGUCGGAGAGGAAGGCGGAAUUCCUAGUGUAGCGGUGAAAUGCGUAGAUAUUAGGAGGAACACCAGUGGCGAAGGCGGCUUUCUGGACGAUAACUGACGCUGAGGCGCGAAAGCGUGGGGAGCAAACAGGAUUAGAUACCCUGGUAGUCCACGCUGUAAACGAUGGAUACUAGGUGUGGGUGGUUUAAUACCAUCCGUGCCGCAGUAAACGCAAUAAGUAUCCCGCCUGGGGAGUACGGCCGCAAGGUUGA